CAGUAGCCACGGUAAUACGUAGGGGGCAAGCGUUGUCCGGAAUUAUUGGGCGUAAAGCGCGCGCAGGCGGUUUUUUAAGUCUGGUGUCUAAGUGCGGGGCUCAACCCCGUGACGCACUGGAAACUGGGAGACUUGAGUGCAGAAGAGGAGAGCGGAAUUCCACGUGUAGCGGUGAAAUGCGUAGAGAUGUGGAGGAACACCAGUGGCGAAGGCGGCUCUCUGGACUGUAACUGACGCUGAGGCGCGAAAGCGUGGGGAGCAAACAGGAUUAGAUACCCGCGUAGUCCCUGUCUCUUAUACA
This 301-nucleotide ribosomal RNA is filed under the name uncultured bacterium. RNAcentral describes it as "partial 16S ribosomal RNA". It matches the Rfam family "Bacterial small subunit ribosomal RNA", at positions 509 to 808 of the family's 1533-position model. The record is from RNAcentral.